RNAcentral lists this ribosomal RNA (427 nucleotides) under uncultured prokaryote. Its description in RNAcentral is "bacterial SSU rRNA". It matches the Rfam family "Bacterial small subunit ribosomal RNA", at positions 355 to 796 of the family's 1533-position model. The record is from RNAcentral.
UGGGGAAUUUUCCGCAAUGGGCGCAAGCCUGACGGAGCAAUACCGCGUGAGGGAGGAAGGCUUUUGGGUUGUAAACCUCUUUUAUUAAGGAAGAAGAAAGUGACGGUACUUAAAGAAUCAGCAUCGGCUAACUCCGUGCCAGCAGCCGCGGUAAUACGGAGGAUGCAAGCGUUAUCCGGAAUUAUUGGGCGUAAAGCGUCCGCAGGUGGUUAUGCAAGUCUGCUGUUAAAGAGUGGAGCUUAACUCCAUAAGGGCAGUGGAAACUGCGUGACUAGAGUGCGUUCGGGGCAGAGGGAAUUCCUGGUGUAGCGGUGAAAUGCGUAGAUAUCAGGAAGAACACCGGUGGCGAAAGCGCUCUGCUAGGCCGCAACUGACACUGAGGGACGAAAGCUAAGGGAGCGAAUGGGAUUAGAUACCCCGGUAGUCC